Molecule: long non-coding RNA, 988 nt
Filed under: Triticum aestivum (bread wheat)
Lineage: Eukaryota; Viridiplantae; Streptophyta; Magnoliopsida; Poales; Poaceae
Description: long non-coding RNA (TAES_LNC022937)
Source: RNAcentral
CCUCCCUCCAGGUACCUCUCCAAACCCUAAACACCCCUUAGGUUCACAGUUUAUCACUAUACUACUAUUGUUUAAUUAGAUGGUAACAUAAAACUUGGAGUGUCUGAUCGGAAUUCUUACUCACUGCUAGAGAUGCUAAUUGGGUUCUCUCUGCCUCUCACAAGUUUAUCCUUGUGUUAUAUCUUAUUCAGGGUAAAAAAAUGCCCAGAAUAAAGAAAUGAUGAAUUAUACUGUACUCAUUAUUGUAGUUAAAGAUUACAUUUAAAAUUGAUCAUCGAUCACGUGGGAUGCUGCCAACUUGCAGGGUCGAUGACACAUUAAAUUGCCAUAUUGCUUUUCCCUCUUCUUCGCAUGUUAGGAAUAUAUCUUUAUCAAUAGAAUUUAAUAUUUGUGUUUUCGCAUGCAGGAAGAGACAUGAUCAUAUCGAUCACCAGUCAUGGAGUCAAGUGGUUGUUGUCGUCAAGCUAAAUGUUGGUGAGUGCCAAAUGAGAAGAUAUAUGUUCUAAUAUUCCUGAGCUGGACAUUAUGGUAAAAUAUUAAUUUUAGAAAUUUUGCCAAUCAUACCGGUCUGUAGCUAUAUCACAUUGCAAAAUUCCAUGAACAUGUGGUCCACAUUAUUUUUCACAUUGCAAAAUUCCAUGAACAUGUGGUCCACAUUAUUUUUCUAUUAUAUUUUUCCUGCCCAAGCGUGGAUGCAGGUGGAUGUGGGCGCCGCGGCUGCCACCAAGGAUGUAGGGGUCAUGCUACAACCGGUGAGGACACAAUAGGCACUUUUUUUUGGGAUGGAGGGAGUAUUACAUUCCUUGUAAUCGCAUGCUAUAUUUUCAGUGGGAAUUCAUUGACACAGUUCCUUACAAAAGUUGUAUCUUUGACAUAGGCAAACUGCUCAAGUGAUUAUAUCAUCCAUUCUGAUUUUGAGGGAAAUAUAUCCAAAUGAACAGUAUGAUGAACCUAAUGGCUCUCUAUCCUCAUUUCUCUAACAUGCAAG